This 505-nucleotide ribosomal RNA is filed under the name uncultured bacterium. Its description in RNAcentral is "partial 16S ribosomal RNA". It matches the Rfam family "Bacterial small subunit ribosomal RNA", at positions 28 to 507 of the family's 1533-position model. The record is from RNAcentral.
GACGAACGCUGGCGGCGUGCCUAAUACAUGCAAGUAGAACGCACAGUUUAUACCGUAGCUUGCUACACCAUAGACUGUGAGUUGCGAACGGGUGAGUAACGCGUAGGUAACCUGCCUGGUAGCGGGGGAUAACUAUUGGAAACGAUAGCUAAUACCGCAUAAUAUUAAUUAUUGCAUGAUAAUUAAUUGAAAGGUGCAAUUGCACCACUACCAGAUGGACCUGCGUUGUAUUAGCUAGUAGGUGAGGUAACGGCUCACCUAGGCGACGAUACAUAGCCGACCUGGGAGGGUGAUCGGCCACACUGGGACUGAGACACAGCCCAGACUCCUACGGGAGGCAGCAGUAGGGAAUCUUCGGCAAUGGACGAAAGUCUGACCGAGCAACGCCGCGUGAGUGAAGAAGGUUUUCGGAUCGUAAAGCUCUGUUGUAAGAGAAGAACGGGUGUGAGAGUGGAAAGUUCACACUGUGACGGUAUCUUACCAGAAAGGGACGGCUAACUACGUG